Molecule: long non-coding RNA, 216 nt
Filed under: Trifolium pratense (red clover)
Lineage: Eukaryota; Viridiplantae; Streptophyta; Magnoliopsida; Fabales; Fabaceae
Description: long non-coding RNA (TPRA_LNC010227)
Source: RNAcentral
CUAGCUAAUUUCUCUUCAUUUAAAAGUGCCUCAGUGUGCCCAUUGUGUUGGAUUUGAAUCUGAAUCUGAUGAAGUUUUUGUUCAGCAGAGAUGACAUGAUUAUGAACGUUACCAAAACAGUCCUUAUUCCAAAUCUUAAGUUUAUCCUUAAGAAUUUUCAACUUCUUGCUCAAGUUAAACAUAGGAUGACCUAACACCACAGUGUUCCAACAUUCU